UGGAAAUUCAUAUUUUUGUAGUUUCUAAAGCAAGUGUAACACCCUCCUGUGCUCUGUCUACCGACACAACUGGAGAAACUGUGACCAUCAAAAAAAUAUUCCCUCAUUCAAGAUGUCCGAGACCUCUUGGAAAGUGGUGCUGAACAACCUCUCCCCUCUGAAUUAAUAAUAUGCCUAAAAGAGACAGUGGUCUUUGGGUUCAGGUUACGGUAGACUGUCGACCUUUGAAAUGGAAUGCAGCCCGCGGCAGACAGUUGACAGUGGAGCGCGGCCUGAUUGUCACCAAAGUGGCAUCACGUUUUUACGUGUGGGGCCUAUCACAGAGAUCAGCAGAUUGACAAGUGAGUGAGGGGGUGCCGCCACCAUUCAUUCAUUCAUUCAUUCAUACUGUGCAUCCUCAAAGGUAGGUAAUGAACACAAGUACUGAUAUCAAUAUAUGCUAAAGGAACCUGAAUAAUGAAGUUAGUUAGUACUGUCUAAGCCAUCGUUCGUUAAUUAUUUAUCAUCAGGAGUUUAUAGGUUUGUGCCCAAUGACCUCCACCCAUCCAGCCCACCACCAGACCUCCACCCAUCCAGCCCACCACCAGUCCUCCACCCAUCCAGCCCACCACCAGACCUCCACCCAUCCAGCCCACCACCAGACCUCCACCCAUCCAGUCCUCCACCCAUCCAGCCCACCACCAGACCUUCACACAUCCAGCCCACCACCAGUCCUCCACCCAUCCAGC
Molecule: long non-coding RNA, 728 nt
Organism: Centropristis striata (black sea bass)
Lineage: Eukaryota; Metazoa; Chordata; Actinopteri; Perciformes; Serranidae
Exons: 3
Source: RefSeq, a predicted model, not a curated record